Molecule: ribosomal RNA, 95 nt
Organism: Clostridium tepidiprofundi DSM 19306
Lineage: Bacteria; Bacillati; Bacillota; Clostridia; Eubacteriales; Clostridiaceae
Rfam family: Bacterial small subunit ribosomal RNA
Source: Rfam
UAAAUUGAGAGUUUGAUCCUGGCUCAGGACGAACGCUGGCGGCGUGCCUAACACAUGCAAGUCGAGCGAUGAAGCUACCUUCGGGUAGUGGAAUA